Long non-coding RNA from Acanthochromis polyacanthus (spiny chromis), 2299 nucleotides. RefSeq lists it as uncharacterized. The transcript has 2 exons. NCBI's taxonomy places the organism in Eukaryota, Metazoa, Chordata, Actinopteri, Pomacentridae. The record is from RefSeq and is a predicted model, not a curated record.
AGCUGGAAGAAGGACAGACAGAGGAGAGGAGGAGAAAGAAGAAAGUGAAACUAGAGAGGGAGAGAACAGGGAGAGGCCACGCUGAGAGGUCGUGUUUGAUGAGAACUCUGGAUCUCCUACAGAUAGACAAUGAGAAAGGUCGGCUCAACUCAGCCAAAAUAGAAACAUGGAGGAGGCGGGUAGAGGACAAAAGACGAGGCAGACGGAGGAAGAAGAGGAGGAGGAGGUGAAGGAGAAGGGGAGGGAUGAGACAGGAGGAGGACCCCAUCGGACAGGAGUAGCAGCUCCAAUUAAGAUUGGUCACCAGAUAAGGAGAUCUGUGUGUGUUCGUGUGUGUCUGUGAGUGUGGCGCAUGAGUCAGUAAAAGCCUCCUUCAGCGUUAAGUGUAUGCGUAUAUAUUAGGAUGUUUGUGUAUUCAUGCAGCUGUUCCUGGUUCUCUGAGUUUGUGAGUUUACAGGCAUCCUUGCAUGCAUUUGUAAGCGUUUAUGCAGAUUUGUGUUUAGCUGUAGAGUGUGUGUGUGUGUGUGCGUGUGUGUGUGAGAGAACUGGCUUCCGUGGAAAUAUAUGCGUGCAUAUGUUUAUUUUCGUACCUGUGGUUUCAGAACCUGUGCAUGUUCUCUGCAUGUGAGCGCUCACAUAUGUCUCUUUGAGGGUGGGUUUAUCCUCCUAUACUUACAUGUCCAUAUAUGAAUAUACAUGAGUGAGGCACAUCCGAUAUAUAUAUAUGUGUGUGUGUGAGCUUCAAUUUGUGGGUGCUAAUUAGCCUCGCAGUAAUUAAUUCCACCGCCACACAGCAUUUUCCACACUGACCUUGGCUGCCACGGCGGUCGCUGUGGGGAUAGUGUCAAUCAGAUCUGGCUAAUGUGGACGAUGUGAGCGUUACUGUACUUCGGCAGGCCAAGUGGACAUCCAGCCGAUCUGUGAACUGUGCAUUUUGUGUGCGUGGGAGGAUGAAGUGCUAUGUUUGUAUGUGAGCGAGCGCAGAUGAUAGGAUGAAGAAUUUCCGUGCUGCUCAUCUGUUGCUAGUGGAAACAGAUGAUCUUUCAGCCUCGUACAAGGACGGCGGGGCAGAGUGUCAACACCCCCGCUGUGGCUCAAUCUUUCCUGCUCCAGCGUCUCCGUCUAUUGUUGCCUCUGCCCUUGUCUGUCUUUGUCUGACGCUCUAUUUUCUUUCAUGACACUCAGUCUAACCAAUAAACCACAGAAGACUAAGGAUCAAGAUGAAACAGUCUGAAUAGCCCGGUCCAUCAUUAUUUCAUUUUUUCUGAUCAAUAUAAUAUGAGUAAGGUAAAUUAUUUACACUCUGUCAUCACCUUUGAGAUGUUCCACCUCCACAAUCAUUAUGAGCGGUUAAUUACUUCUUGCAUUCAGGAAUAUGGUUCCAGAGUGACACCUUUCACACCUAAAAGCACAUGAUUAUCCCUUAGUUGAACCAUGACUACUGCACGCAGGAUGACGAAUCAUUCUAAAAUAGCAGUGUGCUGCUGCUUUGUCACUGAUCCACCUUGUAGGCUGUCUCCUCUUCCACUUACAGAAUGCACAGCGGGUAUUUCAGCCUCAUUCUUUGCCAAAAAUGUCGCUGAACUGAUGGAAAACGUCACAACAUACCAUUACAAUAACGGAGGAAAAGUAUCCUCACAGCAGCAGAUGUCUAAAGAAGAAUCUCUAAAAGGGGAAACACUCGCUUGUUUGACACGAUCACAAGAAAGUGUAGAAACAAUUAUGAGGAUGUCCAUCUGUGCUGGUGGGUUGCAUUAUGCUGUGCGUUAAAACUUUGUGCUUCGCUGCUCAACACGACUUAUCAUGCAUCCCAGUAGCAACUCCUCAAGAUCAUCCAGCUUGGAAAGUUAGGAUGGCUCACGGGCGAUGAAACCUUCCUAUCACAUCUACCUGCUGAGCUUUUCUGAGCAAAUGUUCACCUUGACUCGCCUGUUUGUGAACUCUUUGUUAAUUGAAGUAACCAAGCAUUCUUCUGUCUUUGUCUUGACAGGUCCAGCUGUUGGAUUACACUCUCAGAAGGCUCACAGGGGUGGAUACGACUUCCAGGAAGACAGGUUUAUGAUGGCCUUCUGACUUAUGGAAACUAGACGAUGGAGGCUCAUUGGUCACAGGAGGAGGUCUGUUCCCAGUGCCCACCAUUCUAGAACCUUGAAGACCUGUAAGGAAAUAGAGCUGCUAUAACUUUUAAUUGAAAUGAGACACGAAUCUGCCUUUCCAGGUCGGUAUUGUUAAAAAUAAAGGCUGUUGUUUCAAUGGAGAUUAAUAAAUAAGCAAGAAUUCCUUGUGGGCCACAGCUGAA